This 468-nucleotide ribosomal RNA is filed under the name uncultured bacterium. RNAcentral's name for it is "partial 16S ribosomal RNA". It matches the Rfam family "Bacterial small subunit ribosomal RNA", at positions 28 to 507 of the family's 1533-position model. The record is from RNAcentral.
GACGAACGCUGGCGGCGUGCUUAACACAUGCAAGUCGAACGGAAAGGCCCUGCUUUUGUGGGGUGCUCGAGUGGCGAACGGGUGAGUAACACGUGAGUAACCUGCCCUUGACUUUGGGAUAACUUCAGGAAACUGGGGCUAAUACCGGAUAGGAGCUCCUGCUGCAUGGUGGGGGUUGGAAAGUUUCGGCGGUUGGGGAUGGACUCGCGGCUUAUCAGCUUGUUGGGGGGGUAGUGGCUUACCAAGGCUUUGACGGGUAGCCGGCCUGGGAGGGUGACCGCCAACAUGGGGACGGGGAAACGGCCAGGACUCCUCCGGGAGGCAGCAGGGGGGAAUUUGGCACAAUGGGCGGAAGCCUGAUGAAGCAACGCCGCGUGCGGGAUGACGGCCUUCGGGUGGUAAACCGCUUUCGCCUGUGACGAAGCGUGAGUGACGGUAAUGGGUAAAGAAGCACCGGCUAACUACGUG